AACAGGAUUAGAUACCCUGGUAGUCCACGCCGUAAACGAUGUCGACUUGGAGGUUGUGCCCUUGAGGCGUGGCUUCCGGAGCUAACGCGUUAAGUCGACCGCCUGGGGAGUACGGCCGCAAGGUUAAAACUCAAAUGAAUUGACGGGGGCCCGCACAAGCGGUGGAGCAUGUGGUUUAAUUCGAUGCAACGCGAAGAACCUUACCUACUCUUGACAUCCAGAGAACUUUCCAGAGAUGGAUUGGUGCCUUCGGGAACUCUGAGACAGGUGCUGCAUGGCUGUCGUCAGCUCGUGUUGUGAAAUGUUGGGUUAAGUCCCGCAACGAGCGCAACCCUUAUCCUUUGUUGCCAGCGUUUAGGCCGGGAACUCAAAGGAGACUGCCAGUGAUAAACUGGAGGAAGGUGGGGAUGACGUCAAGUCAUCAUGGCCCUUACGAGUAGGGCUACACACGUGCUACAAUGGCGCAUACAAAGAGAAGCGACCUCGCGAGAGCAAGCGGACCUCAUAAAGUGCGUCGUAGUCCGGAUUGGAGUCUGCAACUCGACUCCAUGAAGUCGGAAUCGCUAGUAAUCGUGGAUCAGAAUGCCACGGUGAAUACGUUCCCGGGCCUUGUACACACCGCCCGUCACACCAUGGGAGUGGGUUGCAAAAGAAGUAGGUAGCUUAACCUUCGGGAGGGCGCUUACCACUUUGUGAUUCAUGACUGGGGUGAAGUCGUAACAAGGUAACC
Molecule: ribosomal RNA, 730 nt
Filed under: uncultured bacterium
Lineage: Bacteria
Description: bacterial SSU rRNA
Rfam family: Bacterial small subunit ribosomal RNA
Source: RNAcentral